Molecule: Y RNA, 112 nt
Filed under: Colobus angolensis palliatus
Lineage: Eukaryota; Metazoa; Chordata; Mammalia; Primates; Cercopithecidae
Description: Y RNA (ENSCANG00000016576.1)
Rfam family: Y RNA
About the family: Y RNAs are components of the Ro ribonucleoprotein particle (Ro RNP), in association with Ro60 and La proteins.
Source: Rfam by way of RNAcentral
GGCUGGUCUGAAGGUAGUGAGUUACCUCAGUUGAUGGUUCAGCCAAGUUACAGAUCAACCUCCUUGUCCUCCUCUUUCUCCCCUUCCCACUACUAUACUUGACUAAUCUUAA